AGGCAACCUGCCCUCAAGCUUGGGACAACUACCGGAAACGGUAGCUAAUACCGAAUAGUUGUUUUCUUCGCCUGAAGAGAACUGGAAAGACGGAGCAAUCUGUCACUUGGGGAUGGGCCUGCGGCGCAUUAGCUAGUUGGUGAGGUAACGGCUCACCAAGGCGACGAUGCGUAGCCGACCUGAGAGGGUGAUCGGCCACACUGGGACUGAGACACGGCCCAGACUCCUACGGGAGGCAGCAGUAGGGAAUCUUCCGCAAUGGGCGAAAGCCUGACGGAGCAAUGCCGCGUGAGUGAUGAAGGUUUUCGGAUCGUAAAGCUCUGUUGCCAGGGAAGAACGCUUGGGAGAGUAACUGCUCUCAAGGUGACGGUACCUGAGAAGAAAGCCCCGGCUAACUACGUGCCAGCAGCCGCGGUAAUACGUAGGGGGCAAGCGUUGUCCGGAAUUAUUGGGCGUAAAGCGCGCGCAGGCGGUCAUUUAAGUCUGGUGUUUAAUCCCGGGGCUCAACCCCGGAUCGCACUGGAAACUGGGUGACUUGAGUGCAGAAGAGGAGAGUGGAAUUCCACGU
RNAcentral lists this ribosomal RNA (568 nucleotides) under uncultured bacterium. RNAcentral describes it as "bacterial SSU rRNA". It matches the Rfam family "Bacterial small subunit ribosomal RNA", at positions 119 to 674 of the family's 1533-position model. The record is from RNAcentral.